Molecule: ribosomal RNA, 483 nt
Filed under: Vibrio vulnificus
Lineage: Bacteria; Pseudomonadati; Pseudomonadota; Gammaproteobacteria; Vibrionales; Vibrionaceae
Description: bacterial SSU rRNA
Rfam family: Bacterial small subunit ribosomal RNA
Source: RNAcentral
CAGGUGCUGCAUGGCUGUCGUCAGCUCGUGUUGUGAAAUGUUGGGUUAAGUCCCGCAACGAGCGCAACCCUUAUCCUUGUUUGCCAGCGAGUAAUGUCGGGAACUCCAGGGAGACUGCCGGUGAUAAACCGGAGGAAGGUGGGGACGACGUCAAGUCAUCAUGGCCCUUACGAGUAGGGCUACACACGUGCUACAAUGGCGCAUACAGAGGGCGGCCAACUUGCGAAAGUGAGCGAAUCCCAAAAAGUGCGUCGUAGUCCGGAUUGGAGUCUGCAACUCGACUCCAUGAAGUCGGAAUCGCUAGUAAUCGUGGAUCAGAAUGCCACGGUGAAUACGUUCCCGGGCCUUGUACACACCGCCCGUCACACCAUGGGAGUGGGCUGCAAAAGAAGUGGGUAGUUUAACCUUCGGGAGGACGCUCACCACUUUGUGGUUCAUGACUGGGGUGAAGUCGUAACAAGGUAGCGCUAGGGGAACCUGGCG